RNAcentral lists this ribosomal RNA (468 nucleotides) under uncultured bacterium. RNAcentral's name for it is "partial 16S ribosomal RNA". It matches the Rfam family "Bacterial small subunit ribosomal RNA", at positions 28 to 507 of the family's 1533-position model. The record is from RNAcentral.
GAUGAACGCUGGCGGCAGGCUUAACACAUGCAAGUCGAACGGUAACACCCUGCUUGUUUGUGGUGCUCGAAUGGCGAACGGGUGAGUGAGACGUGAGUGACCUACCCCUGACUUUGGGAUAACGACAACAAGCUGGGGCUACUACCAGAUCAGAGCGUCGGCUGUAUAGUGGGGGUGGGAUAGUUUCGGCGGUUGGUGAUGGACGCGCGGCUUAUCUGCGUUUUGGUGGAGGAGUGGCUUACCGAGGGUCUGACGGGUAGGCGGCCUGAGAGGGUGAACGGGGACAUUGGGACUGAGCUACGGCCCAGAGUCCUACGGGAGGCAGCGGUGGGGAGUAUUGUACAAUGGGCGGAAGUCUGAUGCAGCAACGCCGCGUGUGGGAUGACGGCCUUGGGGUUGGGAAGGGAUUAAGGCUGUGACGAAGGGUGAGUGACGGUAACGGGUAAAGAAGCACCGGCUAACUACGUG